Molecule: Y RNA, 112 nt
Organism: Callithrix jacchus (white-tufted-ear marmoset)
Lineage: Eukaryota; Metazoa; Chordata; Mammalia; Primates; Cebidae
Rfam family: Y RNA
About the family: Y RNAs are components of the Ro ribonucleoprotein particle (Ro RNP), in association with Ro60 and La proteins. The Y RNAs and Ro60 and La proteins are well conserved, but the function of the Ro RNP is not known.
Source: Ensembl
AGCUGGACGAACACAGUGAGUUAUCUCAAUGGAUUGUUCACUGUCAGUUACAAAUCAAGCUCCUUUUUUUACUCUUUCUCCCCUUCUCACUACUGCAUUUGACUAGUCUUAA